This 507-nucleotide ribosomal RNA is filed under the name uncultured bacterium. RNAcentral's name for it is "bacterial SSU rRNA". It matches the Rfam family "Bacterial small subunit ribosomal RNA", at positions 791 to 1304 of the family's 1533-position model. The record is from RNAcentral.
UAGUCCACGCCGUAAACGAUGAUUACUCGCUGUUGGCAAUACACCGUCAGCGGCUAAGCGAAAGUGAUAAGUAAUCCACCUGGGGAGUACGUUCGCAAGAAUGAAACUCAAAGGAAUUGACGGGGGCCCGCACAAGCGGUGGAGCAUGUGGUUUAAUUCGAUGAUACGCGAGGAACCUUACCAGGGCUUAAAUGUAGAACGACCGAUCUGGAAACAGAUCCUCUCUUUGAGCGGUCUACAAGGUGCUGCAUGGUUGUCGUCAGCUCGUGCCGUGAGGUGUCGGGUUAAGUCCCUUAACGAGCGCAACCCCUAUCUCUAGUUGCCAGCGGUUUGGCCGGGGACUCUAGAGAGACUGCCCGUGCAAGCGGUGAGGAGGGUGGGGAUGACGUCAAAUCAUCACGGCCCUUACGUCCUGGGCGACACACGUGCUACAAUGGCGAGUACAGAGGGUAGCGAAGCCGCGAGGUGGAGCCAAUCUCAGAAGCCUGUCCCAGUUCGGAUUGGAGU